Molecule: ribosomal RNA, 392 nt
Filed under: uncultured bacterium
Lineage: Bacteria
Description: partial 16S ribosomal RNA
Rfam family: Bacterial small subunit ribosomal RNA
Source: RNAcentral
AUACGGAGGAUCCGAGCGUUAUCCGGAUUUAUUGGGUUUAAAGGGUGCGCAGGCGGCCAUUUAAGUCAGCGGUUAAAUCGUGGGGCUCAACCCCAUUCUGCCGUUGAUACUGGGUGGCUUGAUUGCGGUCGAGGUGGGCGGAAUUCGUGGUGUAGCGGUGAAAUGCUUAGAUAUCACGAAGAACUCCGAUUGCGAAGGCAGCUCACUGGACUGCAACUGACACUGAUACUCGAAAGUGUGGGUAUCAAACAGGAUUAGAUACCCUGGUAGUCCACACAGUAAACGAUGAAUACUCGCUGUUUGCGAUAUACAGUAAGCGGCCAAGCGAAAGCAUUAAGUAUUCCACCUGGGGAGUACGCCGGCAACGGUGAAACUCAAAGGAAUUGACGGGG